Molecule: ribosomal RNA, 454 nt
Filed under: uncultured bacterium
Lineage: Bacteria
Description: partial 16S ribosomal RNA
Rfam family: Bacterial small subunit ribosomal RNA
Source: RNAcentral
ACGGAAGGCAGCAGUGAGGAAUAUUGGUCAAUGGGCGGAAGCCUGAACCAGCCAAGUAGCGUGAAGGAUGACGGCCCUACGGGUUGUAAACUUCUUUUGCCGGGGGAUAAAAAACGGGACGCGUCCCGUCUUGCAGGUACCCGUGCGAAUAAGGACCGGCUAAUUCCGUGCCAGCAGCCGCGGUAAUACGGAAGGUCCGAGCGUUAUCCGGAUUUAUUGGGUUUAAAGGGUGCGCAGGCGGCUUUUUAAGUCAGUGGUUAAAUCGUGACGCUCAACGUCAUCACGCCAUUGAUACUGGAGAGCUUGAUUGCGGUCGAGGUUUGCGGAAUUCGUUGUGUAGCGGUGAAAUGCAUAGAUAUGACGAAGAACACCGAUUGCGUAGGCAGCAGACCAGGCCGUAAAUGACGCUCAUGCACGAAAGUGCGGGGAUCGAACAGGAUUAGAUACCCUGGUA